This 862-nucleotide ribosomal RNA is filed under the name uncultured bacterium. RNAcentral describes it as "bacterial SSU rRNA". It matches the Rfam family "Bacterial small subunit ribosomal RNA", at positions 8 to 871 of the family's 1533-position model. The record is from RNAcentral.
AGAGUUUGAUCCUGGCUCAGGAUGAACGCUGGCGGCGUGCCUAACACAUGCAAGUCGAACGAAGCACAUUGGAUUGAUUCUUCGGAAGAAAGAGAAUGUGACUGAGUGGCGGACGGGUGAGUAACGCGUGGGUAACCUGCCUCAUACAGGGGGAUAACAGUUAGAAAUGACUGCUAAUACCGCAUAAGACCACGGAGUCGCAUGACUCAGUGGGAAAAACUCCGGUGGUAUGAGAUGGACCCGCGUCUGAUUAGGUAGUUGGUGGGGUAACGGCCUACCAAGCCGACGAUCAGUAGCCGACCUGAGAGGGUGACCGGCCACAUUGGGACUGAGACACGGCCCAAACUCCUACGGGAGGCAGCAGUGGGGAAUAUUGCACAAUGGGGGAAACCCUGAUGCAGCGACGCCGCGUGAGCGAAGAAGUAUUUCGGUAUGUAAAGCUCUAUCAGCAGGGAAGAAAAUGACGGUACCUGACUAAGAAGCACCGGCUAAAUACGUGCCAGCAGCCGCGGUAAUACGUAUGGUGCAAGCGUUAUCCGGAUUUACUGGGUGUAAAGGGAGCGUAGACGGCUGUGUAAGUCUGAAGUGAAAGCCCGGGGCUCAACCCCGGGACUGCUUUGGAAACUAUGCAGCUAGAGUGUCGGAGAGGUAAGUGGAAUUCCCAGUGUAGCGGUGAAAUGCGUAGAUAUUGGGAGGAACACCAGUGGCGAAGGCGGCUUACUGGACGAUGACUGACGUUGAGGCUCGAAAGCGUGGGGAGCAAACAGGAUUAGAUACCCUGGUAGUCCACGCCGUAAACGAUGACUACUAGGUGUCGGGUGUCACAGGCAUUCGGUGCCGCAGCAACGCCAUAAGUAGUCCA